Heterocephalus glaber (naked mole-rat) is the source of this 757-nucleotide long non-coding RNA. The record is from Ensembl. NCBI's taxonomy places the organism in Eukaryota, Metazoa, Chordata, Mammalia, Rodentia, Bathyergidae.
UGAAAAUACCUGAGAACCCUUUAUUACAAAUUUUAGGUGCACACAAUGCCACUGCUAGUGGUUUUGUUUGGGUUUUUUUUUUUGAGACAAGGUCUCUAUGUAGUUCAAACUGGCCUUGACCUCACUAUGUAGCCCAGGCUGGUCUCUAACAGCAAUUCUCCUGCCUCAGCUUCCCGAGCUGAGAUUACAGUCAUGCGCCACCAUGCCCUACUGGCUUUGUUUAAAGUGCUCUCUUAUUUUUAUUUUUGUGGCACCCUAGUGUUUGUAAAUACUUCCAUAAUACCUCAAUUCAAGUAUCCUUUCACACCUGAGAGUAGGAAGUGCAAAACAGACCCUGCAUUGGCAAGACUUAGAAAGAUCUCUUUCCACCCAAGGCCUAGUGGUGAAACUAUGACACUACGACACGGGAGCUCCAGCAGGCAGUUUGUAUCAUUGAGAACUCCAAAAGGUUCAUCAUCACUGGCCUAGAGGAAUGGUGACAGGAAUCUUGAAUCACAGACGAGAUGAGACAUGUUUCUCCAUCUAUAAAUAGUGUUAUCAUCAAUCUGCCCUUCCCACACUGAAAUGUCAGAACAAAUGAGGAAAUACAACUUUCAAAAGCGCUUUCAGCUUUUUUGAAGGAAAACAGUAAAAAAGGGCCGGGGAUUUAGCUCAGUGGUUCCACCGCCUGCUUGCCUGCUUCUCAGCGCAAGGACCCAAGUUCGAUCCCUGGAACAAAAAAAAAAAAAGAAAGAAAGAAAGUUAUUUUGAAGAGUCC